RNAcentral lists this ribosomal RNA (253 nucleotides) under uncultured bacterium. RNAcentral describes it as "partial 16S ribosomal RNA". It matches the Rfam family "Archaeal small subunit ribosomal RNA", at positions 474 to 727 of the family's 1478-position model. The record is from RNAcentral.
UACCCGCAGCACAAGUGGUGGUCAUUAUUAUUGGGCCUAAAGCGUCCGUAGCUGGCCUGUUAGAUGCCUGGGUAAAUCGAUACGCUCAACGUAUCGAAUUCCGGGUAGACCGGCAGGCUCGGGACCGGGAGAGGUGUAGGCUACUCGAGGGGUAGGGGUAAAAUCCUGUAAUCCUUCGGGGAGGACCAGUGGCGAAGGCGCUACACUAGAACGGCUCCGACAGUGAGGGACGAAGCCCUGGGGCGCAAACCGG